AAGCCGUGCUGUAAACACAAAGCGAACUUUUCUUUCUCCUUUUAUUAAAGAAUACCAUGUGCUUGCCGUAUAUAAACGGCAUAUGCCUAUUUUUGAAAGGAUUUCUCUUUCCUAAGAGAAAC
Small nuclear RNA from Papaver somniferum (opium poppy), 122 nucleotides. RefSeq annotates it as U5 spliceosomal RNA. The record is from RefSeq and is a predicted model, not a curated record. The transcript has a single exon. NCBI's taxonomy places the organism in Eukaryota, Viridiplantae, Streptophyta, Magnoliopsida, Ranunculales, Papaveraceae.